This 253-nucleotide ribosomal RNA is filed under the name uncultured bacterium. Its description in RNAcentral is "partial 16S ribosomal RNA". It matches the Rfam family "Bacterial small subunit ribosomal RNA", at positions 524 to 776 of the family's 1533-position model. The record is from RNAcentral.
UACGUAGGGUCCAAGCGUUAUCCGGAAUCACUGGGCGUAAAGCGUGCGUAGGCGGCGUGUUAAGUGUGAUGUUAAAUCGUGUGGCUCAACCAUAUCGAUGCAUCGCAUACUGGCAUGCUAGAGGAAGGCAGAGGCAAGUGGAAUUGGUAGUGUAGCAGUGAAAUGCGUAGGAGAUUACCAGGAACACCAAUGGCGAAGGCAGCUUGCUGGGCCUUUCUGACGCUGAGGUACGAAAGCGUGGGGAGCGAACAGG